GCUGGGAUUUCAGGAUCAGUCAGGGAAUCGCGCUCUGCUCCAGCAUCCCGCCCUCCCCGAGCGGGAACAGCGGCGGGAUUUCAGGAUCAGUCAGGGAAUCGCGCACUGCUCCAGCAUCCCGCCCUCCCCGAGCGAUCAGAGCUGGGAUUUCAGGGAUCAGUCAGGGAAUCGCGCUCUGCUCCAGCAUCCCGCCCUCAAAGAGCGAUCAGAGCUGGGAUUUCAGGGAUCGGUCAGGGAAUCGCGCUCUGCUCCAGCAUCCCGCCCUCCCCGAGCGGGAACAGCGGCGGGAUUUCAGGGAUCAGUCAGGGAAUCGCGCUCUGCUCCAGCAUCCCGCCCUCCCUGGGCCAACAGCGCUGGGAUUUCAGGGAUCGGUCAGGGAAUCGCGCUCUGCUCCAGCAUCCCGCCCUCAAAGAGCGAUCAGAGCUGGGAUUUCAGGGAUGGGUCAGGGAAUCGCGCUCUGCUCCAGCAUCCCACCCUCAAAGAGCCAUCAGAGCCGGGAUUUCAGGACCAGCCCCGGGCACGGCGCUCCCAGGCCGGGCUCUCAUUGAGAAUUGUUUUGCCCGCACGGCGCUGGCUCCACCCCGGCCGCGCUCAUUGGCUCGGGGUUAUUUUGGCAGCCGGACUCUGCCCUGCCCUGCGGAGAUUUUAGGGAGCUGCCCAACCUCCCGAUGCUGCUCCCCGGCUAUGGGAGGGAUGGGAGAGCGAUAAGAGCGGCGAUAAAGGCUAAAAGGGAACAAAAACAAAGGGAUUCUGUUCCGCAGGAACAAAGCACGCGGGAAUUCCUGCUCCAUGGAAAGGCUCCACCGUCCUGGGAUGCAGAGCCAAAGUGCCCAACCUCUGCCAAAUCGAAGGAUGGGGGAGCUGGCAGCUCCCUGCCAAUUCCAGUAAAUUUUAGAGUCUAUGCAUUUAAAACAGAAAAAAACCCCAGGAAUGUUAUCUCCUUAUAAACACCAUAAAAGCAAGUUCUACUUUUCCAAGGAUAAAAUGCAACAUUCAGGAAAAGAAGUUAUAGACCAAGAGUGUAAGAGCACAAUAACUCCCUGAGGGAUUUUUUAAAAUAAGGUGACCAAAAGUGCAAAUACAAGAAAUGUUUUUAAAGGAGGAAGACUCAGGGAGAGCACACAAGGAAAGUACUCUGGUUGCACCAUGCAGGCAUCAAUCACAGCAAAUCCCUGCCCAGCGGGUUUUCCAUCAAAUAUCCCAAAACUCUUGCCAGGAACACCAGCGUGCCUUCCUCAGCUUCCAGCAAAGCC
RNAcentral lists this long non-coding RNA (1253 nucleotides) under Zonotrichia albicollis (white-throated sparrow). RNAcentral describes it as "lncRNA (ENSZALG00000008032.1)". The record is from RNAcentral. Lineage: Eukaryota; Metazoa; Chordata; Aves; Passeriformes; Passerellidae.